RNAcentral lists this ribosomal RNA (900 nucleotides) under Enterobacter asburiae. RNAcentral describes it as "bacterial SSU rRNA". It matches the Rfam family "Bacterial small subunit ribosomal RNA", at positions 514 to 1414 of the family's 1533-position model. Lineage: Bacteria; Pseudomonadati; Pseudomonadota; Gammaproteobacteria; Enterobacterales; Enterobacteriaceae. The record is from RNAcentral.
GCCGCGGUAAUACGGAGGGUGCAAGCGUUAAUCGGAAUUACUGGGCGUAAAGCGCACGCAGGCGGUCUGUCAAGUCGGAUGUGAAAUCCCCGGGCUCAACCUGGGAACUGCAUUCGAAACUGGCAGGCUAGAGUCUUGUAGAGGGGGGUAGAAUUCCAGGUGUAGCGGUGAAAUGCGUAGAGAUCUGGAGGAAUACCGGUGGCGAAGGCGGCCCCCUGGACAAAGACUGACGCUCAGGUGCGAAAGCGUGGGGAGCACACAGGAUUAGAUACCCUGGUAGUCCACGCCGUAAACGAUGUCGACUUGGAGGUUGUGCCCUUGAGGCGUGGCUUCCGGAGCUAACGCGUUAAGUCGACCGCCUGGGGAGUACGGCCGCAAGGUUAAAACUCAAAUGAAUUGACGGGGGCCCGCACAAGCGGUGGAGCAUGUGGUUUAAUUCGAUGCAACGCGAAGAACCUUACCUACUCUUGACAUCCAGAGAACUUUCCAGAGAUGGAUUGGUGCCUUCGGGAACUCUGAGACAGGUGCUGCAUGGCUGUCGUCAGCUCGUGUUGUGAAAUGUUGGGUUAAGUCCCGCAACGAGCGCAACCCUUAUCCUUUGUUGCCAGCGGUCCGGCCGGGAACUCAAAGGAGACUGCCAGUGAUAAACUGGAGGAAGGUGGGGAUGACGUCAAGUCAUCAUGGCCCUUACGAGUAGGGCUACACACGUGCUACAAUGGCGCAUACAAAGAGAAGCGACCUCGCGAGAGCAAGCGGACCUCAUAAAGUGCGUCGUAGUCCGGAUUGGAGUCUGCAACUCGACUCCAUGAAGUCGGAAUCGCUAGUAAUCGUAGAUCAGAAUGCUACGGUGAAUACGUUCCCGGGCCUUGUACACACCGCCCGUCACACCAUGGGAGUGGG